UGCAAGUCGAGCGGUAGAGAGGUGCUUGCACCUCUUGAGAGCGGCGGACGGGUGAGUAAUGCCUAGGAAUCUGCCUGGUAGUGGGGGAUAACGUUCGGAAACGAACGCUAAUACCGCAUACGUCCUACGGGAGAAAGCAGGGGACCUUCGGGCCUUGCGCUAUCAGAUGAGCCUAGGUCGGAUUAGCUAGUUGGUGAGGUAAUGGCUCACCAAGGCGACGAUCCGUAACUGGUCUGAGAGGAUGAUCAGUCACACUGGAACUGAGACACGGUCCAGACUCCUACGGGAGGCAGCAGUGGGGAAUAUUGGACAAUGGGCGAAAGCCUGAUCCAGCCAUGCCGCGUGUGUGAAGAAGGUCUUCGGAUUGUAAAGCACUUUAAGUUGGGAGGAAGGGUUGUAGAUUAAUACUCUGCAAUUUUGACGUUACCGACAGAAUAAGCACCGGCUAACUCUGUGCCAGCAGCCGCGGUAAUACAGAGGGUGCAAGCGUUAAUCGGAAUUACUGGGCGUAAAGCGCGCGUAGGUGGUUCGUUAAGUUGGAUGUGAAAGCCCCGGGCUCAACCUGGGAACUGCAUUCAAAACUGUCGAGCUAGAGUAUGGUAG
Molecule: ribosomal RNA, 603 nt
Filed under: Pseudomonas sp.
Lineage: Bacteria; Pseudomonadati; Pseudomonadota; Gammaproteobacteria; Pseudomonadales; Pseudomonadaceae
Description: bacterial SSU rRNA
Rfam family: Bacterial small subunit ribosomal RNA
Source: RNAcentral